RNAcentral lists this ribosomal RNA (497 nucleotides) under uncultured bacterium. Its description in RNAcentral is "partial 16S ribosomal RNA". It matches the Rfam family "Bacterial small subunit ribosomal RNA", at positions 28 to 507 of the family's 1533-position model. The record is from RNAcentral.
GAUGAACGCUGGCGGCGUGCCUAAUACAUGCAAGUCGAGCGAUCAGACGAGGAGCUUGCUCCUCUGACGUUAGCGGCGGACGGGUGAGUAACACGUGGAUAACCUACCUUUAAGACUGGGAUAACUUCGGGAAACCGGAGCUAAUACCGGAUAAUAUAUUGAACCGCAUGGUUCAUUAGUGAAAGACGGUUUUGCUGUCACUCAUAGAUGGAUCCGCGCGGCAUUAGCUAGUUGGUAAGGUAACGGCUUACCAAGGCACCGAUGCGUGGCCAACGUGAGAGGGUGAUAGGCAACAUGGGAACUGGAACAGGGUCCAGCCUCCUACGGGAGGCACCAGUAGGAAAUCUUCGGCAAUGGGGGAAAGCCUGACGGAGCAAGGCCGCGUGAGUGAUGAAGGUCUUCGGAUCGUAAAACUCUGUUAUUAGGGAAGAACAGAUGUGGAAGUAAAUAUGCACGUCUUGACGGUACCUAAUCAGAAAGCGACGGCUAACUACGUG